Long non-coding RNA from Lutra lutra (Eurasian river otter), 342 nucleotides. RefSeq lists it as uncharacterized. The record is from RefSeq and is a predicted model, not a curated record. The transcript is spliced from 3 exons. NCBI's taxonomy places the organism in Eukaryota, Metazoa, Chordata, Mammalia, Carnivora, Mustelidae.
AGUGUCUUUGAGAAAAGCCGUUCCAAUGGCUUGAUGGGGAGGAACUCUCCCCCGGAGUCAUCUGAAGAGAGAAUGGAAGUGAAAAAGAGUCCAUAGUGAAUCUGGGCAACUUUUCAGAGGACUUUUGAUGCCCCAGAGGGAAGGGUCCGUAGCUGGAUGGGCCCUUGGGUUGUAGAGAGACGUCUAGGUGGUUUUCAGGCUGGCUGAUUCUGCGGCACGUGUUUGCAUGUUGGUGGCAAUUGAGAGGGAGAAAUUGUUGGUGAGGUACAAAACAGGAACAGCUGUGGAGACGACAUCCCUGAGCAGGCUGGAGGGGCUGGGGCUGGCACCCAGGGGGCAGGA